RNAcentral lists this ribosomal RNA (532 nucleotides) under uncultured bacterium. Its description in RNAcentral is "partial 16S ribosomal RNA". It matches the Rfam family "Bacterial small subunit ribosomal RNA", at positions 355 to 900 of the family's 1533-position model. The record is from RNAcentral.
GGAGGAAUAUUGGGCAAUGGACGAAAGUCUGACCCAGCAACGCCGCGUGAAGGAUGAAGGCCUUCGGGUCGUAAACUUCUUUUGAGGGAGACGAGAAAGGACGGUAUCCCUCGAAUAAGCCACGGCUAACUACGUGCCAGCAGCCGCGGUAAAACGUAGGUGGCGAGCGUUAUCCGGAUUCAUUGGGCGUAAAAGAGCUUGUAGGUGGUGCGAUAAGUUGGACGUGAAAACUCCGGGCUUAACUUGGAGAGGCCGUUCAAUACUGUUGUGCUAGAGGGCGUCAGAGGAAGUGGAAUUCCUGGUGUAGCAGUGAAAUGCGUAGAUAUCAGGAGGAACAUCCGUGGCGAAGGCGGCUUCCUGGGGCGCACCUGACACUGAGAAGCGAAAGCUAGGGGAGCAAACGGGAUUAGAAAACCCCGGUAGUCCUAGCUGUAAAACGAUGGAUGCUAGGUGUGAGUGGAUCUAACCCCGCUCGUGCCGAAGCUAACGCGUUAAGCAUCCCGCCUGGGAACUACGAGCGCAAGCUUAAAAA